UUUCCCAUCCUGGUCUCUCUCGGUCUAUCUCUCUCGUAGACCUAUCUCUCUCGAUCUUUCCCGUAGACCUAUCUCUCUUGGUCUCUCUCUCGGUCUCUCGGUCUUUCCCGUAGCUUGCUCUUGCAGGUCACCGUUAGAGCCUCUUCCUCUCUUUGUACCAAGUUCUCCUUUGCUCUAUCGAUGGAGGAGCCUCUUCUAUUAUGAGAAAUACCUCAAACCUACCAGCUGUUUCACUCAUUCUCAGGGUUGCUUGAGGAAGUACUAGCUAUAUUGUUUGUGGGCAUUCCUGCUUGGGCAUAUCAAGCAAUCUGACCUCCUCCCAAGAUAGUGCUAAGCAUAAACUUGUCUUUG
Long non-coding RNA from Humulus lupulus (European hop), 351 nucleotides. RefSeq lists it as uncharacterized. The record is from RefSeq and is a predicted model, not a curated record. Lineage: Eukaryota; Viridiplantae; Streptophyta; Magnoliopsida; Rosales; Cannabaceae. The transcript is spliced from 3 exons.